This 131-nucleotide small nucleolar RNA is filed under the name Dasypus novemcinctus (nine-banded armadillo). RNAcentral's name for it is "Small nucleolar RNA SNORA41 (ENSDNOG00000028073.2)". It matches the Rfam family "Small nucleolar RNA SNORA41". From Rfam's summary of the family: ACA41 is a member of the H/ACA class of snoRNA that guide the sites of modification of uridines to pseudouridines. The record is from RNAcentral. Lineage: Eukaryota; Metazoa; Chordata; Mammalia; Cingulata; Dasypodidae.
AACCACUUGAUCAUACCUGCAGCUGUUCCUAUGGUGGCAGCUGUGGCAUUCCUUUGUGGAAAGAAACUUUACACAAGUAAACACCUCUUUCUUAGCAAAACAGAAAGUGGGCAUGCGUGUGACAAGGAAAA